GACGAACGCUGGCGGCGUGCCUAAUACAUGCAAGUUGAGCGCUGAAGGUUGGUACUUGUACCAACUGGAUGAGCAGCGAACGGGUGAGUAACGCGUGGGGAAUCUGCCUUUGAGCGGGGGACAACAUUUGGAAACGAAUGCUAAUACCGCAUAAAAACUUUAAACACAAGUUUUAAGUUUGAAAGAUGCAAUUGCAUCACUCAAAGAUGAUCCCGCGUUGUAUUAGCUAGUUGGUGAGGUAAAGGCUCACCAAGGGGAUGAUACAUAGCCGACCUGAGAGGGUGAUCGGCCACCUUGGGACUGGGACACGGCUCAAACUCCUUCGGGAGGCAGCAGGAGGGAAUCUUCGGCAAUGGACGGAAGUCUGACCGCGCAACGCCGCGUGAGUGAAGAAGGUUUUCGGAUCGUAAAACUCUGUUGGUAGAGAAGAACGGUGGUGAGAGUGGAAAGCUCAUCAAGUGACGGUAACUACCCAGAAAGGGACGGCUAACUACGUG
RNAcentral lists this ribosomal RNA (497 nucleotides) under uncultured bacterium. RNAcentral describes it as "partial 16S ribosomal RNA". It matches the Rfam family "Bacterial small subunit ribosomal RNA", at positions 28 to 507 of the family's 1533-position model. The record is from RNAcentral.